UAAAUUUACGGACAUUCCAACGAAGAAACACCCGUAAAUAAACUGAACGCUCUUCGUAUUUCUGUAAAACGGAAUCUCCGUAAAAUUACGGUGGUAUUAGAGAGAGAGAGAUAGCUGUGCUAUCGCCCCCCUCUCUCAUUCACCGUUUAGUACCCUCUACGCAUGCGCGUAAUUUACUUCGGCGUACUUCGGCCUACUUCGUGAACUAUCAUUUGUUUUUUUCCCCAUGCAUUCCGUGUUACCGUGUUUUGUUGCUGUUUCUUAAUUCGCAUAUAUAUGGAAUUGUUCAAGAGAUAUUCCUAGUGAUUUUAUAUUAAUUAUUGUUGAAAUUAAGUUUACUGCUUUUAAGAUUGAUAAAAUACCUGCUACAUGUAAUGAAAAAAUAGCUUAGUCUGGAAGUUGACCGUGGUCAGCCAUGUGUGGAAGAAGAAAGCAAGCAAUUUUUCGAAGUUUUAUACAAUCGGAAGAAUUUUGUGAGUCCAUGCGCAAGGGCCAUCUCGCUAAUUCUCGGAAGUUUAUCUUGUUUGUGGACAAGAAAAUGUCCCUAGAAACAUCAGACGUAGUCCAUUAUGAAGAUUAAUCCUACUGUAUAAAAAAAGCAUCAAGGAAACCCCAGAGUUGGAACUUUGAAGAAAGUGACAGAUACAAUUACUAAAAUUGUUGAAUUGUCAAAGCUGUUGGAUGAUUUGUACAUGCAGAUUUGUGUGGUGUUUCAAGAUUUUUUUUUUUUAAUUAUUGUGAUUAAACAAUUCUAAUAUGAAUAUUUUACAUUUAUAUUUAUUUAAAAUGUUGGCUUAUAUUAACAAUGCAUUUUGUAAAUAAAUAUUUAUAAAGGUAUAGCUCAUUUAUUUAUUUUAAUUUUUGAAAAUUUACCAGCACAUAAACAAAGGAACUAUGUGCUACGAUUAUGGUUCUUAUGUCUUACAAUGGCAUAUUCUGUACGUUAAUCAACUAGCAGUGCUGCUAAAUAUUAUGUUUUUUUGUUGUUUAAUGUUUCAAUUUUGUAACAGAAACUAUGUCUCCUAAGCAAAACUUAUUGUGGGAAUUUUUAGCAAAAAUUUUCGGGAUUUACAUAUCAUUAUAAGCUCUAUUGGUGUGUUUUUGCACUAAAAUAAUAAUAAAUACAGUAAAUGGAUAUUUAUUCAAAACUAGAUGAUUUAAGUACAAUGUAUCUAUACUUUUUAUUACUUCACAAGUUAACAUACUUUUUCAUUGUAGUAUAAACACUGGUCCUACUUCCUACAAAUAUAUAAACUUAAAAAUUUUAAGGUUCAUAUGCUUUUCAAUUGUGCUUUUUACACUUAACCAAUUUGGUUACAGUUUGAUACAUAGGUAGCCCAUAUACUGGAUUAACACAAAUGCUAUAGAGUAACUUAUCAUUAAAAGUAUCCAAAAAACCCAUACUUUGGUACUUUUUAAUACUGUAUGCCUCAAAGUGUGUUGCUUUGUAAUGAUUUUUCACUAAUAAAAAAUUCCACCCCUCAGGGAGGGGUGAUAAGUAUCAUAAAAAUACCUCACAAUUAGGCUAAAUGAAGCAUAAGGCAAGGUUGAGUAUCCUACUAAUCUUUAAAUUAUGUAAUUUUUUGAGUUUAAAAGUUUAUAACGUAAUGAAGUCUUUGCUACUUACCUGAUUUUGAUAAAAUUUAAAACAGGAUUCGUAUCUUCUAGAUUAUAGUCUAACAAAUAAUGGAGUUAAUGUAAGAAUGUGAGUAAAUAUAAUAUUUUUAACUAUGACAUUUUAUCAUAUUUAGAUAAAGAAUACCAUUUUUUAAUUGGGAAGAAGUCAGGGCUUAGUAUAUUCUAAAUGGCUCCUUCUGACUUCUUAUACAUUCGACAAAAUAAAGAGAUUUUAUGUAACUGGAUUUUCCACACAAAACCCUCAAUAUACACUGUACAUGAUUAAAAUUCCACCUCUAAAUUGGGUUUAUAAUAGAAAAUGGUAGAAAGUAAUUUAUUUGGUGUGAAUUGUAAAAUGGCCAUUAAGUAAAACAUGUAGAGGCUUAGAGUUAUGUUUUUGCUCCAAAAGUAAGCUAUAUAGUUAUUAUAAGCACAAAAAUUAAGAGUGCUAUGUAUUUAAUUGCAUUCUAAAAUAGCAUGACUUUACUGUAAUUAUACUGGUUACAAAUUACCCAGAGAAUUUCAUAAAUUAACAUGUACUACACCAUGGAAAAUAACUUUAUCUUUGUAAAUUUUACAAGUGCUGUAAACAUAAUGGUAAAACAAUAUUUUUAUGCUACGGAGUUUCAGUAAUUUUUACAGAACUUUUGUAAAUUUGAGGAACAAUCUGUAUUUGAAUAUUACGAAGUUAUCGUAUAUUUACUGCAUUGGUUUUGAAAUUUACAAAUAAUCUUUAUUUGAAUUUCACAAUGUACUUGUAUAUUUACAGUAUUAAUUGUAAAAUUUACUAAGAAUACAUUUUUUAGUAUUACGAAGUACCGGUAUAUUUACGGCAUUGGUCGUGAAAUUUACGAAGAAUCCAUAUCUGAGAAUUACAAAGUACUAGUAUAUCUACGGCAUUGGUAGUGAAAUUUACGAAGAAUCCGUAUCUGGGUUUUACGAAGUACUAAUAUAUUUACGGCAUUGGUCGUGAAAUUUACGAAGAAUCCGUAUCUGGGUUUUACGAAGUACUAGUAUAUUUACGGCAUUGGUCGUGAAAUUUACGAAGAAUCCGUAUCUGAGUUUUACGAAGUACUGGUAUAUUUACGGCAUUGGUCGUGAAAUUUACGAAGAAUCCGUAACUGAGUUUUACGAAGUACUAGUAUAUUUACGGCAUUGGUUGUGAAAUUUACGGAGAUUUAGUUUUUUUCCCUAAUGAAGUAACCGUAAAUUUACGAAGACCACCGGAGAAUUUUUUUCCGGUACUUUUCGUAAAUUUACGGUAAAAUUUUUUAACAGUGUAGAUGACUUGUAAUUAAU
Molecule: long non-coding RNA, 2916 nt
Organism: Bacillus rossius redtenbacheri
Lineage: Eukaryota; Metazoa; Arthropoda; Insecta; Phasmatodea; Bacillidae
Exons: 3
Source: RefSeq, a predicted model, not a curated record